GGAACAUUGUAACAUAUCUCUGGGUCCAUCACCUGGAUAAUGUGACUCUUCUUGGGACCUAUUCACAGUGAAAAUUGUGACACAUCUCUUGGGUUCUGCCCACAAGGGAGAUUUUGACUUAUUGCUGUCCUCAAAAUGAAGGUGAUGUGACACUUUUGCCUUGGACCCACCCUUGAAGACAUUGUGACAUAUUUCUUAGCUCAGCAUCAAAACGAUGUGUCUUCUUAGUAGACUCUGCCAACAUGGGGCAUUGUGACAUAUCUUUGGGCCCAUCAGCUAUUGAUGUAACUCUCUUCUCUUACAUGGACUUUGCUCACAGAAGAGACUAUGAAAUAUCUCUGGGCCCAGCAAAUAGGUGAUGUGACUCUUCUCUACUGCUUGGGCUCUGCUCAUGAGAAAAUUGUGAUGGAUUGCUGAACCCAGCACCUAGGUAAUGUAACUCUCUUCUCUUGCCUGGGCCCGGCAUAAAUUGUGUAUUGUGACAUGGGGCUCGAUCACAAACCUAGGUAAUGCUACUCUCUUGCAUUGGCUCUGCCCACCAGGGUAUUAUGACACAACUUUUCAUUCAUCGCCUAGGCGAUGUGACCCCCCGCUUCUGCUUGAAUCUUGCCAAAAGAGGAAAUGAUAACAUAUCACUAUACUCAGCACCUAGGUGCCAUGACUUGCCUUUUUCCCCAGGCAAUGCAUAUAUUGGGAAUUAU
This 701-nucleotide long non-coding RNA is filed under the name Homo sapiens (human). Its description in RNAcentral is "non-protein coding lnc-ZNF107-1:2". Lineage: Eukaryota; Metazoa; Chordata; Mammalia; Primates; Hominidae. The record is from RNAcentral.